Molecule: non-coding RNA, 110 nt
Organism: Acanthosepion pharaonis
Lineage: Eukaryota; Metazoa; Mollusca; Cephalopoda; Sepiida; Sepiidae
Source: the annotation of a GenBank genome assembly
CCACAUCACAUUGAAACACCAGUUCCCGUACGAUCACCAAAGUUAAGCAACGUCGAGCCUGGUCAGUACGCAGAUGGGUGACCGCUGAAGGCUUGGAUGUUCAGGUGGUG